UGGUAUUAGCUGUAACAGUCACUCCUCUUA
RNAcentral lists this non-coding RNA (30 nucleotides) under Rattus norvegicus (Norway rat). Lineage: Eukaryota; Metazoa; Chordata; Mammalia; Rodentia; Muridae. The record is from RNAcentral.